This 788-nucleotide ribosomal RNA is filed under the name uncultured euryarchaeote. RNAcentral describes it as "bacterial SSU rRNA". It matches the Rfam family "Archaeal small subunit ribosomal RNA", at positions 63 to 859 of the family's 1478-position model. Lineage: Archaea; Methanobacteriati; Methanobacteriota. The record is from RNAcentral.
AGGUGUAAGACCUCGGCAUACUGCUCAGUAACACGUGGUUAACCUGCCCUAAGGUGGAGCAUACUCCCGGGAAACUGGGGCUAAUACUCCAUAGUGGAUAUAUCCUGGAAUGGUAUAUCCUCGAAAGAUCCGUCGCCUUAGGAUGGGACUGCGUCCGAUUAGGUUGUUGGCGGGGUAACGGCCCACCAAGCCUUUGAUCGGUACGGGUUGUGGGAGCAAGAUCCCGGAGAUGGAUUCUGAGACAUGAAUCCAGGCCCUACGGGGCGCAGCAGGCGCGCAAACUUUACAAUACGAGCAAUCGUGAUAAGGAAACCCUGAGUGCCUGUCGAUGCAGGCUGUUCAUAUAUCUAAAUCAUAUGUGAAGAAGGGGCAGGGCAAGACCGGUGCCAGCCGCCGCGGUAAUACCGGCUGCUCGAGUGAUGGCCACUAUUACUGGGUUUAAAGCGUCCGUAGCUUGACUGUUAGGUCUCUUGGGAAAUCUUCACGCUCAACGUGAAGGCGUCUAAGAGAUACCGGCAGUCUUGGAACUGGGAGAGGUAAACCGUACUUCGGGGGUAGGAGUGAAAUCUUGUAAUCCUCGAGGGACGACCUAUGGCGAAGGCAGUUUACCAGAACAGCUUCGACAGUGAGGGACGAAAGCUGGGGGAGCAAACGGGAUUAGAUACCCCGGUAGUCCCAGCCGUAAACAAUGUGCGUUAGGUGUGUCGGUAACCACGUGUUACUGAUGCGCCGAAGAGAAAUCGUGAAACGCACCACCUGGGAAGUACGGUCGCAAGGCUGAAACUUAA